Molecule: ribosomal RNA, 373 nt
Filed under: uncultured organism
Description: partial 16S ribosomal RNA
Rfam family: Bacterial small subunit ribosomal RNA
Source: RNAcentral
GUAGGUGGCAAUCGUUGUCCGGAAUUAUUGGGCGUAAAGCGCGCGCAGGCGGUCCUUUAAGUCUGAUGUGAAAGCCCACGGCUCAACCGUGGAGGGUCAUUGGAAACUGGGGGACUUGAGUACAGAAGAGGAAAGCGGAAUUCCAAGUGUAGCGGUGAAAUGCGUAGAGAUUUGGAGGAACACCAGUGGCGAAGGCGGCUUUCUGGUCUGUAACUGACGCUGAGGCGCGAAAGCGUGGGGAGCAAACAGGAUUAGAUACCCUGGUAGUCCACGCCGUAAACGAUGAGUGCUAAGUGUUAGGGGGUUUCCCGCCCCCUUAGUGCUGCAGCUAACGCAUUAAGCACUCCGCCUGGGGUAGUACGGCCGCAGGCUG